AGUGAACGCUGGCGGUAGGCCUAACACAUGCAAGUCGAACGGCAGCACAGUAAGAGCUUGCUCUUACGGGUGGCGAGUGGCGGACGGGUGAGGAAUACAUCGGAAUCUACUUUUUCGUGGGGGAUAACGUAGGGAAACUUACGCUAAUACCGCAUACGACCUAGGGGUGAAAGCAGGGGAUCUUCGGACCUUGCGCGAUUGAAUGAGCCGAUGUCGGAUUAGCUAGUUGGCGGGGUAAAGGCCCACCAAGGCGACGAUCCGUAGCUGGUCUGAGAGGAUGAUCAGCCACACUGGAACUGAGACACGGUCCAGACUCCUACGGGAGGCAGCAGUGGGGAAUAUUGGACAAUGGGCGCAAGCCUGAUCCAGCCAUACCGCGUGGGUGAAGAAGGCCUUCGGGUUGUAAAGCCCUUUUGUUGGGAAAGAAAAGCAGCAGGUUAAUACCCCGCUGUUCUGACGGUACCCAAAGAAUAAGCACCGGCUAACUUCGUG
RNAcentral lists this ribosomal RNA (492 nucleotides) under uncultured bacterium. RNAcentral's name for it is "partial 16S ribosomal RNA". It matches the Rfam family "Bacterial small subunit ribosomal RNA", at positions 29 to 507 of the family's 1533-position model. The record is from RNAcentral.